UGGGGAAUUUUGGACAAUGGGCGAAAGCCUGAUCCAGCAAUGCCGCGUGUGUGAAGAAGGCCUUCGGGUUGUAAAGCACCUUUGUCCGGAAAGAAAUCCUUGGCUCUAAUACAGUCGGGGGAUGACGGUACCGGAAGAAUAAGCACCGGCUAACUACGUGCCAGCAGCCGCGGUAAUACGUAGGGUGCAAGCGUUAAUCGGAAUUACUGGGCGUAAAGCGUGCGCAGGCGGUUUGCUAAGACCGAUGUGAAAUCCCCGGGCUCAACCUGGGAACUGCAUUGGUGACUGGCAGGCUAGAGUAUGGCAGAGGGGGGUAGAAUUCCACGUGUAGCAGUGAAAUGCGUAGAGAUGUGGAGGAAUACCGAUGGCGAAGGCAGCCCCCUGGGCCAAUACUGACGCUCAUGCACGAAAGCGUGGGGAGCAAACAGGAUUAGAUACCCUGGUAGUCCACGCCCUAAACGAUGUCAACUAGUUGUUGGGGAUUCAUUUCCUUAGUAACGUAGCUAACGCGUGAAGUUGACCGCCUGGGGAGUACGUCGCAAGAUUAAAACUCAAAUGAAUUGACGGGGUCAUAGCUGUUUCCU
Molecule: ribosomal RNA, 584 nt
Filed under: uncultured bacterium
Lineage: Bacteria
Description: partial 16S ribosomal RNA
Rfam family: Bacterial small subunit ribosomal RNA
Source: RNAcentral